UACGUAGGUGGCGAGCGUUGUCCGGAAUUACUGGGUGUAAAGCGCGUGUAGGCGGGAGGCCAAGUCUGUGGUGAAAUCGCUCGGCUUAACUGGGCGGGGUCCAUGGAAACUGGUCACCUGGAGGUCGGUAGAGGCAAGUGGAAUUCCCGGUGUAGUGGUGAAAUGCGUAGAGAUCGGGAGGAACACCAGUGGCGAAGGCGGCUUGCUGGGCCGGACCUGACGCUGAGACGCGAAGGCAUGGGGAGCGAACAGG
This 253-nucleotide ribosomal RNA is filed under the name uncultured bacterium. RNAcentral's name for it is "partial 16S ribosomal RNA". It matches the Rfam family "Bacterial small subunit ribosomal RNA", at positions 524 to 776 of the family's 1533-position model. The record is from RNAcentral.